This is a transfer RNA of 87 nucleotides. It matches the Rfam family "tRNA". Rfam says of the family: Transfer RNA (tRNA) molecules are approximately 80 nucleotides in length. Their secondary structure includes four short double-helical elements and three loops (D, anti-codon, and T loops). Further hydrogen bonds mediate the characteristic L-shaped molecular structure. tRNAs have two regions of fundamental functional importance: the anti-codon, which is responsible for specific mRNA codon recognition, and the 3' end, to which the tRNAs corresponding amino acid is attached (by aminoacyl-tRNA synthetases). tRNAs cope with the degeneracy of the genetic code in two manners: having more than one tRNA (with a specific anti-codon) for a particular amino acid; and 'wobble' base-pairing, i.e. permitting non-standard base-pairing at the 3rd anti-codon position.
GCCCCAGUAGCUCAGUUGGUAGAGCGGCUGAGCUGAGAGCAGUAGGUCGAGGGUUCGAAAGAUUUGCCGAAAAUCCCUCCUGGGGCU